CUCGUUCUUAUACGAUCACUGAUGAUAAGCAAUAUUGAGCCUGGUCAGUACUUAGAUGAGUGACCACUUGGGAAUACCAGAUGCUGU
Acanthosepion pharaonis is the source of this 87-nucleotide non-coding RNA. NCBI's taxonomy places the organism in Eukaryota, Metazoa, Mollusca, Cephalopoda, Sepiida, Sepiidae. The record is from the annotation of a GenBank genome assembly.